This 604-nucleotide ribosomal RNA is filed under the name uncultured Alphaproteobacteria bacterium. RNAcentral describes it as "bacterial SSU rRNA". It matches the Rfam family "Bacterial small subunit ribosomal RNA", at positions 36 to 688 of the family's 1533-position model. Lineage: Bacteria; Pseudomonadati; Pseudomonadota; Alphaproteobacteria. The record is from RNAcentral.
CUGGCGGCAGGCCUAACACAUGCAAGUCGAGCGCACCUUCGGGUGAGCGGCGGACGGGUUAGUAACGCGUGGGAACAUACCCUUUUCUACGGAAUAGCCUCGGGAAACUGAGAGUAAUACCGUAUAAGCCCUUCGGGGGAAAGAUUUAUCGGGAAAGGAUUGGCCCGCGUUAGAUUAGAUAGUUGGUGGGGUAAUGGCCUACCAAGUCUACGAUCUAUAGCUGGUUUUAGAGGAUGAUCAGCAACACUGGGACUGAGACACGGCCCAGACUCCUACGGGAGGCAGCAGUGGGGAAUCUUAGACAAUGGGCGCAAGCCUGAUCUAGCCAUGCCGCGUGUGUGAUGAAGGUCUUAGGAUCGUAAAGCACUUUCGCCAGGGAUGAUAAUGACAGUACCUGGUAAAGAAACCCCGGCUAACUCCGUGCCAGCAGCCGCGGUAAUACGGAGGGGGUUAGCGUUGUUCGGAAUUACUGGGCGUAAAGCGUACGUAGGCGGAUUGGAAAGUUGGGGGUGAAAUCCCAGGGCUCAACCCUGGAACUGCCUCCAAAACUAUCAGUCUAGAGUUCGAGAGAGGUGAGUGGAAUUCCAAGUGUAGAGGUAAAAUU